This 459-nucleotide ribosomal RNA is filed under the name uncultured bacterium. RNAcentral describes it as "partial 16S ribosomal RNA". It matches the Rfam family "Bacterial small subunit ribosomal RNA", at positions 338 to 795 of the family's 1533-position model. The record is from RNAcentral.
CCUACGGGUGGCUGCAGUGAGGAAUAUUGGUCAAUGAGCGGGAGCCUGAACCAGCCAAGCCGCGUGAAUGAAGAAGUCGCCAGGCGUCGUAAACUUCUUUUGUCGGGGAACAAAGGGCGCCACGUGUGGCGAUGUGAGUGUACCCGACGAAAAAGCAUCGGCUAACUCCGUGCAAGCAGCCGCGGUAAUAAGGCGGAUGCGGGCGUUAUCCGGAUUUCUUGGGGUUCAAGGGCGCGUAGGCGGUCCGGAAAGUCAGCGGUAAAAGACCGGGGCUCAACCCCGGCGAGCCGUUGAAAGUGUCGGACUAGAGACGGCGAGAAGUACGCGGAAUGCGCGGUGUAGCGGUGAAAUGCAUAGAUAUCGCGCAGAACUCCGAUUGCGAAGGCAGCGUACCGGCGCCGGACUGACGCUGAGGCACGAAAGCGUGGGUAUCGAACAGGAUUAGAUACCCCUGUAGUC